CCGAGCGCUGCGCGGACAGACCUGCCGGCGCCGCUGCCGGGAAUCGGCGAUCCGCGGCCAGUGGAGGACUGUCCGGCUGGGGGCGUGGGGUUCUGGGGGGGUCUCGCGGUCUGAGGCCACCUCGGUUUGGAAAAUGUUGGCCUGAGCCUGGGGUCCAGGCAUGGAAUUCCUGACAACUUCCCAAUCUCCCUCAGGCCCUCCAGCAAUGGACUUGGAGGAGCCCAGGGACACAGUUUCACCCUGCCAGGACCUCACCCCCAACUGCCAGUGGGACCGGGUGCCGGGACGCUCCGGCAGCCUGAGUCAGAUGGAACUCGAUGGGCCAAGUAUUGAGGACCUGGUGCAACAGUUUGAGGCUCUGCCUGGUGAUCUGGUGGGCUUGUCCCCAGAUGGACCUCCCUGCCCCUUGCACGUGGCCACGGGCCACGGCCUGGCCUCCCAGGACGUUGCUGAUGCCCAUGGGCUCUUGUCUGCCGAGGCCGGCCCAGACGACCUGCUGAGCCUUUUGCACUGCCAGGAAUGCCCUCCUUCCCAGUCUUGUCCCAAGGAGCCUCCGGACCCUGCCCCUCGCCCGCUGCAGCCCCCUGAGGACCCAGACGGAGAUACCAGUGCCCCGGAAUGGGUGGAGGGAGCUUCUGCCGAGCAUGGCGGCAGCAGGAGCUCAAGCAGCUCCCCGGAACCGUGGCUGGAGACGGCACCUCUGGUUGCUCCUGAAGAACCGCCUGCCGAUACCCAGAACCCCAAGACCCUGGUGACAUACCCUGCCCUCCAGGAGGUACCUGGUCCCUGUGACCAUGAAGACCUCCUAGACGGUGUCAUAUUUGGGGCCAAAUACUUGGGCUCCACCCAGCUGGUGUCCGAGCGGAACCCACCUCCCAGCACACGCAUGGCCCAGGCCCGGGAGGCGAUGGACCGUGUCAAGGCCCCUGACGGGGAGACCCAGCCCAUGACGGAAGUGGACCUCUUUGUGUCCACCAAGAGGGUCAAGGUUCUGACGGCCGACUCCCAGGAGGCCAUGAUGGACCACGCCCUGCAGACCAUCUCCUACAUUGCUGACAUCGGCAGUGUGCUGGUGCUCAUGGCCCGGCGGCGGCUGGCCCGGCGGCCGGCAUCCCAGGCCCACAGCCAUAGGCUCUACAAGAUACUGUGCCACGUCUUCCACUCCGAGGACGCCCAGCUCAUCGCUCAGGCCAUCGGCCAGGCCUUCACCGUGGCCUACAGCCAGUUCCUUCGGGAAAGUGGCAUCGACCCCAACCAGGUGGGUGCCCAGCAGAGCCAGGGCGCCGCGGGCCCCGGCCACCUCCACAACGGGGACCUCGACCAUUUCUCCAACAGCGAGAACUGCAGGGAGGUGUGCAUCGAGAAGCGCCGGGGCGAGGGCCUGGGCGUGGCCCUGGUGGAGUCGGGCUGGGGCUCCCUGCUGCCCACGGCUGUCAUCGCCAACCUGCUGCAUGGGGGUCCCGCCGAGCGCUCGGGGGCCCUCAGCAUCGGGGACCGCCUCACUGCCAUCAAUGGGACCAGCCUGGUGGGGCUGCCCCUGGCCGCCUGCCAGGCUGCCGUCCGCGUGAGUCCCCCGCAGGGUGGCCGGGUGCCCUUCCCUGGCGCGGUCCAGAAGGGGCAAGGUAGAGCAUGAAGUCCUACCCGCCCCGGUGUGCUCAAGGAGACAGAGCCUUGGAGAGGGGACGCUGCUGGUCCGGGGGGGCCUUGAUGGGGUGAAGGCAAGAUUCGCACCCAGGCGGUCUAGCUGCAGGGUCAGGAGCCUUCCUCUCUGCCCCGAGGCAGCCAGUGUGUUCUUGAGUCUUGACCCUUGUUGCCGGCUGGGGAAACUGAGGCUCAGAGCGGGGAAGGACCUGGCCAGGUCAGAAGGGCAAGCCCGACACGGUCCACGCAGCAUGUUAUGUUUGAGCGUGGCAGACGCUGCUAGAAAUGUGCUCUCGACAGGGAAACUGAGGCCACAGAUAGGGAGGGGAGAGGUCACCGCUCCGACCUGAGGCCGCCCAGCUUGAGUCUGUGUUCUUAACUGCUUCUCAAGGGGUCUUCUAGAAUCAAGAGCCUUGACUCUGAAGCUCCAUUUCACGAGAGGUGAAGUCACAGACCUUGGUGACCCUCAGCAUCAUCCACUGCCCGCCGGUCACCACAGCCAUCAUCCGCCGGCCCCACACCCGUG
This is a non-coding RNA of Callorhinus ursinus (northern fur seal), 2167 nucleotides long. NCBI's taxonomy places the organism in Eukaryota, Metazoa, Chordata, Mammalia, Carnivora, Otariidae. The record is from RefSeq and is a predicted model, not a curated record.